Molecule: long non-coding RNA, 1111 nt
Filed under: Homo sapiens (human)
Lineage: Eukaryota; Metazoa; Chordata; Mammalia; Primates; Hominidae
Description: long non-coding RNA NONHSAT216693.1
Source: RNAcentral
CACCGGCCGGGGAGGAAGACGUUAAAGACGCCAGGGAGGAGGACGGUGUGGACACCAUUGAGGAAGACCUGACACGGGCCGGGGAGGAAGACGGUAAAGACACCAGGGAGGAGGACGGUGCGGACGCCAGCGAGGAAGACCCGACAUGGGCUGGGGAGGAAGAGGGUGCAGACUCCGGGGAGGAGGACGGUGCAGACGCCAGCGAGGAAGAUGAUACAAUUACCAAUGAAAAGGCACACAGUAUUCUAAAUUUUUUGAAGUCAACACAGGAAAUGUAUUUUUAUGACGAGAUGCAGCUUCAGCUGCCCUCGCAGAUGCCGCUGAGGAGCUGCUGGACCGCCUUGCGUCACACAGCAUGCUGCCCUCAGACGUGUCCAUCCUGUACCACAUGAAAACGCUGCUGCUCCUGCAAGAUACUGAGAGAUUGAAGCAUGCUCUGGAAAUGUUCCCAGAACAUUGCACGAUGCCUCCUGGCUGGAGCAUGCUGGGGGGCUCCCCGGGGGCUCUUCAGAGUGAGGGAGUCCUGAGGCUGGGAGUCUGGGAACCACUGCUGUGCACCGUUUGGCACAACACUAGCUGAGGCCCCUUGUAGAAAUGUUCUUCCCAGACCUGCAGCAGGAAAGACACAGCGUGAAUGGGGAUGUCCUUUAUUCCCAGAGGCAAGUAAGCCCCAAAAUUCCACACUUGUCAGAGUGACAGGGUCCCAGGGGCAAGCCCUGGCUGAUUUCAGCCUCAAUGCGAACAAGAUCGUUAAUGGAGGAUGACGCAUUACAAAGGGCAGUGUAAUCCAUGGUGCAUGGUCCAUAGCACCAGAGCACAGGUGGGGAAGGUCAGGAGGAGAAAGCUCUACUUCUCACAAAAAAGUGGGGCAAACAAACAUAGAGAUGACAGAAUUAGCAAAGUGCUUUGUCGUCCCCAAGGGAAUAAUAACCAAACCCAACAAGGACGAUCCGGAUGUUAAAAUCACUGGGUCAGAUAUUUUGGGGAAGGGGAGAGUCCCGAAGCCUCACCUUACCCCACAGGUGACUUGCAGAUUUCGAAGGGGAGGAGCAGCUUUGCAGGGGGGAUCCAGCUGCUGGCACUGAGCACCCAGACGGGAGGCUUGUAGGGG